AUAGCUUGUCAGCCUUUUGGCUAAGAUCAAGUGUAGUAUCUGUUCUUAUCAGUUAAAUAUCUGAUACAACCUCUAUCCAAAAUUUCUAGUGAACUUCUAUACUGGACAACAUGGUUAAAUGCUAGUCGUAGUGACUUUAUUAUUCAGUUUCUUGCAAUGUAGCUUCUUUCU
This 171-nucleotide small nuclear RNA is filed under the name Loxodonta africana (African savanna elephant). RNAcentral describes it as "U2 spliceosomal RNA". The stretch from base 1 to 98 matches the Rfam family "U2 spliceosomal RNA". Rfam says of the family: U2 is a small nuclear RNA (snRNA) component of the spliceosome (involved in pre-mRNA splicing). Complementary binding between U2 snRNA (in an area lying towards the 5' end but 3' to hairpin I) and the branchpoint sequence (BPS) of the intron results the bulging out of an unpaired adenosine, on the BPS, which initiates a nucleophilic attack at the intronic 5' splice site, thus starting the first of two transesterification reactions that mediate splicing. The record is from Rfam by way of RNAcentral. Lineage: Eukaryota; Metazoa; Chordata; Mammalia; Proboscidea; Elephantidae.